This 253-nucleotide ribosomal RNA is filed under the name uncultured bacterium. RNAcentral's name for it is "partial 16S ribosomal RNA". It matches the Rfam family "Bacterial small subunit ribosomal RNA", at positions 524 to 776 of the family's 1533-position model. The record is from RNAcentral.
UACAGAGGUGGCAAGCGUUGUUCGGAAUUACUGGGCGUAAAGGGCGCGUAGGCGGUUCGGUAAGUCCUGUGUGAAAUCCCUCGGCUCAACUGAGGAACUGCACGGGAGACUGCCGGGCUUGAGUUCGGGAGAGGGAAGCGGAAUUCCGGGUGUAGCGGUGAAAUGCGUAGAUAUCCGGAGGAACACCGGUGGCGAAGGCGGCUUCCUGGACCGACACUGACGCUUAGGCGCGAAAGCUAGGGGAGCAAACGGG